UGGGGAAUAUUGCACAAUGGGCGCAAGCCUGAUGCAGCAACGCCGCGUGAACGAUGAAGGUCUUCGGAUCGUAAAGCUCUGUCCUAUGAGAAGAUAAUGACGGUAUUAUAGGAGGAAGCCCCGGCUAAAUACGUGCCAGCAGCCGCGGUAAUACGUAUGGGGCGAGCGUUGUCCGGAAUUAUUGGGCGUAAAGGAUACGUAGGCGGUCUAUUAAGUCAGGUGUGAAAGCGUGAGGCUUAACCUCAUUAAGCACUUGAAACUGAUAGACUUGAGUGAAGGAGAGGAAAGUGGAAUUCCUAGUGUAGCGGUGAAAUGCGUAGAUAUUAGGAGGAAUACCGGUGGCGAAGGCGACUUUCUGGACUUUUACUGACGCUCAGGUACGAAAGCGUGGGGAGCAAACAGG
This 403-nucleotide ribosomal RNA is filed under the name Verrucomicrobiota bacterium. Its description in RNAcentral is "Verrucomicrobia bacterium partial 16S ribosomal RNA". It matches the Rfam family "Bacterial small subunit ribosomal RNA", at positions 355 to 776 of the family's 1533-position model. Lineage: Bacteria; Pseudomonadati; Verrucomicrobiota. The record is from RNAcentral.